ACUCAAAUGAAUUGACGGGGGCCCGCACAAGCGGUGGAGCAUGUGGUUUAAUUCGACGCAACGCGAAGAACCUUACCUACCCUUGACAUCCUCGGAACCUGCUAGAGAUAGUGGGGUGCCUUCGGGAACCGAGAGACAGGUGCUGCAUGGCUGUCGUCAGCUCGUGUCGUGAGAUGUUGGGUUAAGUCCCGUAACGAGCGCAACCCCUAUUCUUAGUUGCCAUCAGGUUAAGCUGGGAACUCUAAGAAGACUGCCGGUGACAAGCCGGAGGAAGGUGGGGAUGACGUCAAGUCCUCAUGGCCCUUACGGGUAGGGCCACACACGUGCUACAAUGGACGGUACAAAGGGCAGCAAAGCCGCAAGGUGGAGCAAAUCCCAUCAAAGCCGUUCGUAGUCCGGAUUGGAGUCUGCAACUCGACUCCAUGAAGUUGGAAUCGCUAGUAAUCGUGGAUCAGAAUGCCGCGGUGAAUACGUUCCCGGGCCUUGUACACACCGCCCGU
RNAcentral lists this ribosomal RNA (500 nucleotides) under uncultured bacterium. RNAcentral's name for it is "partial 16S ribosomal RNA". It matches the Rfam family "Bacterial small subunit ribosomal RNA", at positions 899 to 1397 of the family's 1533-position model. The record is from RNAcentral.